UGGGGAAUAUUGGGCAAUGGAGGCAACUCUGACCCAGCAACGCCGCGUGAGUGAUGAAGGUCUUCGGAUUGUAAAACUCUUUAAGUGGGGACGAAGAAAGUGACUGUACCCACAGAAUAAGCCUCGGCUAACUACGUGCCAGCAGCCGCGGUAAUACGUAGGAGGCAAGCGUUAUCCGGAAUGACUGGGCGUAAAGGGUGCGUAGGUGGUUUGACAAGUUAGUAGCGUAAUUCCGGGGCUCAACUUCGGAACUACUACUAAAACUGUUGGGCUUGAGUGCAGGAGAGGUGAAUGGAAUUCCUAGUGUAGCGGUGGAAUGCGUAGAUAUUAGGAGGAACACCAGCGGCGAAAGCGAUUCACUGGACUGUAACUGACACUGAGGCACGAAAGCGUGGGGAGCAAACAGG
This 407-nucleotide ribosomal RNA is filed under the name uncultured bacterium. Its description in RNAcentral is "bacterial SSU rRNA". It matches the Rfam family "Bacterial small subunit ribosomal RNA", at positions 355 to 776 of the family's 1533-position model. The record is from RNAcentral.